Molecule: long non-coding RNA, 1744 nt
Filed under: Salmo salar (Atlantic salmon)
Lineage: Eukaryota; Metazoa; Chordata; Actinopteri; Salmoniformes; Salmonidae
Description: lncRNA (ENSSSAG00000109487.1)
Source: RNAcentral
UCUGGAUUUCACAUGACUGGAAAUACAGACAUGCAUCUGUUAUCACAGAUACCUAAAAAAAAUCUAGGGGGUUGGAUUCGAAAAACCAGUAUCUCGUGUGACCACCAUUUGCCUCAUGCUGCGUGACACAUCUCCUCGCAUAGAGUUGAUCAGGUUGUUCAUUGUGGCCUGUGGUCCCACUCCUCUUCAAUGGCUGUGCGAAGUUGCUGGAUAUUGGCGGGAACAGGAACACGCUGUCGUACAUGUCGAUCCAGAGCAUUCCAAACUGCUCAAUGGGUGACAUAUCUGGUGAGUAUGCAGGCCAUGGAAGAACUGGGACAUUUUGAGCUUCCAGGAAUUGUGUACAAAUCCUUGUGAUAUGGGGCCAUGCAUUGUCAUGCUGAAACAUGAGGUGAUGGCAGCGAAUUAAUGGCACGACAGUGGGCCUCAGGAUCUCGUCACGGUAUCUUAAAUAGCCACAAGCCAUACACACUGUCUGCCGUCUGCCCGGUACAGUUCAAUCCGGAAUUCAUCCAUGAAGAGCACACCUCUCCGGCGUGCCAGUGGCCAUUGAAGGUGGGCAUUUUCCUACUUAAGUCGUUAAUGAUGCCAAAAUGCAGUCGGGUCAAGACCCUAGUGAAGAUGACGAGCACGCUGCUGAGCUUUCCUGAGAUGUUUUCUGACAGUUCGUACAGAUUUUUUUGUGCAAACCCAGUUUCAUUAGCUGUCCGGGUGGCUGAUUUCAGACGAUCAGCUUCUUGAUAAUCCAUCCAUCUGACAGGUGUGGCAUAUCUUGGCAAAGGUGAAAUUCUCACCAACAUGGAUGUAAAUUCGUGCACAAAACUUUAGAGAAAUAAGCUUUUUGUGUGUAUGGAACAUUUCUGGUAUCUUUUAUUUCAGCUCAUGAAACAUGGGACCAACACUUUACAUGUUGUGUUUAUAUUUUUGUUAAGUAUACUAUUGUGAACACUUUGGUCAAACUUCUUCGUUCCCCUGCCUGUUUUUUGAUGCACUGGUGACAAAGUAUGCAAAAGUUCACUGCAAAUAGGCUGUGGUUUUGGUAUAAUUUGGCUGAGUAGGCUUGUGCACAUUUACAUUACUGUUUCAAUUAGUUAACUAAGUUAUUGAUUUAUUCAUGUUUUUGGUGGUGUUGCAUUUCAGAUGAAGAGGGAGGAUCACUAGAAAGCAGCAUGCAGACUGAUCAGGGCCCGUAUUCACAAAGCAUCUCAGGGUAGGAGUACUGAUUUUAGAAUCAGUUUUGCCUUUUAUGGAAGGGGAGCUGGUCCUAGAUCACUGUUCCUACUCUGAAGACACUUUGUGAAUACAGGCCCGAGAAGAAAGCUGUUGCCCAAUACCUUGCACAACAGUCUUUCACCAUAGGACCCCAGAGGCCACUGCAUGCUGUGACAUGGGCUUGGAUGGUGACACAUCUUCAAGCUUCCUGACUGAAUAUUGGGGUCUUCAGUGGUUCUGGAAGCAAGGGCCUUACCUGGGAGUACAGCAACAGUCUCUCUGUCUCGCAGCCAUUCUGUCAACAUGUAUAGUACAGAACCCACUCAAACUCAUAGAAACUGCUACGGACUCAAGCACUGAUUUAUAUUUACUUUGUCCCAUUCUUUAAUCUUGUUUGAGAUAUAUAUUUUAGUUGAGACACCUGUAUGAGAGAUUAUUAAAAAUGUAUUCACUUUAAAUCAUAAGCUCUAAGUGUAUUUGUCUUGAUGUUUAACUUAUCACAUGAGUUAGUAAAAAUUGAAGACCAACAUGC